CGUGACUGACUGACUGACGGACGGACGGACGGACUGACAGCAGUGAACCCAGGGGGCUCGGUUCACGCCCGGGGCCUCGCCCAAAGAGGUAAAACAUGGCCCAGGCAAAACCGGGGCCCACACGAAGGGCGUAUGGAUGCAUAGAUGCCCUCCACCGCUGUCACCACUAUCACCCGUGCUAUCACAAGUCCGGCUGCCUCUACCGAGCCAAACAACCGAUACCCACACGCGCAACGCAGCACGUGCCAAAGGGCGAGGAUGCUUUUCAUUACCCGCCGCUAGCCGUGUUAUGGAUGUGUUGGGCUUCAUAGCCCAUAAGGCAUACACGGCAACGCGCCUCUUUUUUUUACGUUGAGCGGUUACCACUCUCGUCCUCCAGGAACCCCCCAAGCGACCUUCCCCACACGGAACAAAACAACGCACCCGACGGUACCUUUUAGAGAGCCAUGGUUAUAUUAAGUUUUAGCGUGCCCGUGCACCUCUGAUGCCACAAACGACCGUAUCGUAAUACAUCACCGAGGCGCACACGAUCGUGACUCGCGAGUCCCCAAGCUGCUGGUCUGGCUGGCGUCACACGGCGUCAGGGCAGUUUUUGACGGAUGUUUGUUUCAUUUUUCAUUUCCUAUCCUGAUUCGAAAGUGGAUAGGAGAGUAAAGAAAAGAAAAUCAUGCCGAUUACGACGGGUUGCGUUAAUGCAAAACGUUUGGCUCCAUCCUGCUCCAGACUAAGCAGAUCGCGAUAUAGGAUUUUAGCCUUUUCCAUAUCCUGGAGGGCUGGGACCUUGCCGGAUCCGCAUCGCGGAGCUAGAAGAGACUGCCGGUGCCACUUGGCAGCUGCGAACAGGGACGGAGAAAACAAAAGCCUAAGUCAACCAGACGGGCAGCGUCUAGACAAUUCACCAUCCUAGAGGUUCAAAAUCACCCCAGAGCUGCAGGUGAACGCCGGGUUGCUUGCAGCCACUAUUGGUCAUUACAGCGACACCCAAGCUCAUCGUUACAGGGGGGCAUUUAAUAUAGUAUCGAGUAAAUUAUAUUCACGUGUCCAAUCGGUGAGCAUGCACAUAUGUGUUUAUGUGUGUGUUGCACUUCGAGAUGUGUUGGCCCUAUGCACGCGGCAAUUGACCGUCAACGUAACCAUACGAGCCCGGGGCUUAAGGGCAAGCCGAAGGCUGUUCGAAUUAGAUAGAUA
RNAcentral lists this long non-coding RNA (1188 nucleotides) under Volvox carteri. RNAcentral describes it as "long non-coding RNA (VCAR_LNC002718)". The record is from RNAcentral. Lineage: Eukaryota; Viridiplantae; Chlorophyta; Chlorophyceae; Chlamydomonadales; Volvocaceae.